AAACCUUUAGUCAUAUGCGGCUUGCGGAACUUUGAGUCGGGUCAAAUCUCUGAGAUCCUAGAGUGAGAUUAUGGUCAUGCACCCAUGAUUGAGAUUCACUUACACCCACCAAAUAAAGCCAACUCUUACAUUGAGAAGUCGCGCACAAUAUGCACCCUUCCAUCCACCAAAAAUUUUUGCCAACUCUUAUCCUGAGAGUUGUGCCUUAGCUUUCCACCAAAUAAAAAUGCCAAACUCUCAUCCUGAGAUUUGCGCAUCCCCAAAUUCACUCCUUACUUUUUGUCCUCAUGACAUCUCUUUAAAUUUCUCUGAUUCCAUUCAUCAAGACAUAUGGGCUAUAGUUGAAAAAAAAAUAUCCAAAGGGAAAAGCCAAAAAGGCAUAGACAGGUGUUGACGGUCCUUAAUGCUCAUAUUUAACCAUCAAUUAAUCAUGAAAAAGGAUCCAAAUACAACCAACACCUAGACUUAGGGUUUUAUCUGACAGAAUUCCACAAGUUUUGGUGUUUGUCUAUUUCUGCAGGGGGUUAUUAGGAAAUACGGAAGAAAGGCCCACAAGUCGGGUUUACAUAGAGAUAUUAAUGUGCCGCGCAAUUUUCUAUCAUCUAGAAGACCCCAGAAGCCACGGGACCGAACGGGAGACGUAACGGAGCCGGGCACUGGGCGCCCGCCCUCCCCCCUGGACCAAUCAGGGUGAAGUUCGGAGAUCAUGCUCCACCGACCUAAUACUUCAAGGAAAACCACACGAUCAAUGUCGGUUUGAUCCGAUGGCCCAGAUUCACUUGAAGGGACUAUAAAACCAGACCCCCCUGGCCCCUGGAGAUCAUACCUCUUCUACAGAAUCAAAGUUAGGGUUUCAAUUCUUCAUCCAAGUAGAGAGGAUCCCUCUAGUUCUUCUAGUUCUACCUCAAGUUCAUCUAGAUCUAGUUCUAGUUCAUCUAGUUCUAGUUCUAGUUCCUCUAGUUCUAGUUCUAGUUAGUUCUAGUUGUAAUCUAGAAAAUAGGGAGAGAGAAGAGGAGAGCGGAGGAGGAGCCGGAUCUGUCGGAUCUUCCUCAACAUUGUACUUUUGCAGCAACUGGUUCGUUCUUCAUCGUUCUCCAGGUUCUUCAAUUCAUAACUCCUGAGUUCUCUAAUUACUUUUAUUUACAUUCAAGUUAUUUAUUGGAUUCCCGCUUGCAUCAAGUGCUCUAGUCUUUAUAACGCUAGAGUAGUAAUUAAUAGAUUCGACGUGGUGUUUAGUCUUGCGAUUACCUGGAAUUGCACCCAAUCCUACGGAUUGUUGUGGUAGCCCUAGGGUAGUGACAGCCCUAACGGUCGACGUAUUCCACCACGUUCGGAUCGGUGUUUGUAGGACCGUAGUCAGACCUUCCUAGCCCCCUUCUCAUCUCUUUCUGUGGUUAGUGCUCUGAUGUCCCGAUAUAGAUAAUCUUGAAGUAAUUCUUGAUUCUUAGAUCAACUAGAGAACUCUCAGGAAACUUCCUCUCUUCCCUCCAAAAAUAAUUAUAUAGUUAUCCUUGGGCAAUCUUGGGUCUUAAUUAGUACACUCACGUUCCCUGUGGAAAAUCGAUACUCUGGAAUACUCCCGGGUGAAGGCUACAUCGGUAUCCGUGCGCUUGCGGAUUUUUCUGUUUGCGUUUAAAAUACCCAACAAGCUUUCUGGCGCCGUUGCCGGGGAACGGUAGCUGUGCUAGUUUCGAACCAAGUCGUCCGUGUAUCCUUUUUCUUUUCCUUUUUUUUUACCACACUCACCUUAUCAUUUUCACCAUACCACAUGGAUUUCACUCUAAGCAUUAAUGAGCAUGGAAUUUAUUUCAUAGCCACUUCAUUUACUCCAUGCUCAUAUGCAACAUCUUCACAAUCCAUUGGUCUCUCCAACAUCACCACAUUCGAGAUCUCCAACCCCCACUUCCUUUCUAUUUAUAAAAACUUUAAAAGGGCGGUUGUCGAUGCAUAUGUCUAUAAUAAAUUUUGCAGAUCUCGUUGAGUUGAUCUUGAUAUAGGUCAGCGUUGGAGGGGAAACCACUUCGCUGACAUAAAUUAAUGGUUUCCCAAGGACAAGCUUAGUGUCCUAAAACAAGCACUGAUCAGAUCAUAACAUGAGCUUUUAAUUAUUUGCAACAUUACCUUGUGUGUUGAGCAUAUUAGGAUAAUUGUAAAAAUAUUCCUUCGGGUAUUCUUGUCACUUACCUUUCCAGGAUUGGAGCAAGAAGAUCGGAUGAAUGACAAGCACAAGGUAUGUCCAACCAAUCAUCAUACAACAUUGAAUUAAAUUCAUCCAAACUUGAAUUUUGCAAAAUUCAAGCUUGGGGGAGUACUUUACAUAAAAACAUCCUUUGCCAUGUUGCUAUGUUGGUUGUCCUUACCUUUGAGACAUGCUCAAUUUGUUAAAUACUAAUCACGCUACUUCAUCUCCACUUGAGUAGAUCUCUAUAAAUGCUCUCAUGCCACCUUUAUUUGCUUUAGUAUAUGUCUAGGUUUGGAGUAGUUUCAUUUAUCUCUUAAUUAAGCAUGGUGCUUAGCUAGGAAUGAUGAUCUUACUUCUAAGGGAUUUUAGAUUAAGCAUGGUGCUUAGGUUAAAAUACCCUCCUAAAUCAAAUUAGACAUGGUGUCUAGGUUGAUUUUUGAGCCGAUAGUAUGCUAUAGUAGAUAUUGCAUAUUUUGUUGGACUAACCCCUGCAGGAAAACUUUCAAUAUCGACCUGAGAAGUCCUGAGAUAAACUCACAUUGGAGACAAAGAGAGACACACAUGAAGUUUAACAAUUUACACAAGGAAGACAUAGCUCAUAAGAGAUGAUCCAUGGAGUGUGCCACAAACACGAUGCACAACCGAUAAGAAAGGAAAGCUUUCACAAGGUGAUACUGUACCAUCACUCUUCAAGUAAGGUAACAUCUUAAGGUACUUGACUAUCACUUCUAUAAAGCUUAUCCUUGGUUCUGGCGUUCACAUGAAUAAAAGAGACAAACAUGUAUGAUUUACAACUCUAGAUUAACCAACCCAAUUGAUUCAACAUGUUUAGUCCUUCCACCUUUGUGAUUCCACACUCCUAAUCAUAUGAGCUAAAAUUUUGCACACACAAUCUUUGGAAGAUACAUAUAUAUAUAACAUAAGUAUAGAUAGAUUAUCUUUCCAUUAGGUUGAGCGAUCUGAUCUGACAAAUGUUUUAAAUGCUACACUCAUGAUCUUAUUAUCCAUCAACCCUGUCUUGCUCACUAUGCUUGAGGUUAGAGAGAACAAAUACACUUUUGGUUCUGUUGGUGUUUUCCACCAACAGGGCCCAUGCACUUGAUCUCUGCCUUGUCUCUAUGAGCAGGUACACUUCGAGAAAAAUAUGAAGGACUUUUACAACUCCCAGACUCCACCAAGUGAAGAACCUAGAUCUACGAGUACAAACACACUGGAGAUACUGGACACUCAGGCAAUCACUGCCCUAGGAUGCUUGAGGACGUAACUAAUGGAGUAACCCCGUUGUGAAAGUAGUUACUGACCUUCUGCCGGUCAAGAGAGACAAUCCAGGACGCCUCGUCAUCCUGAUCUCCAUCGGCAUGCCUGCAGAUCGGACACUAAGUUCCCCAAAGGGAAUAUUGAAGAACCUCUGCGUCCGAGUUGGUACCUUGUACGCCCCAGCAGACUUCGUGGUAAUAGAGACUGGUACUGAUGAGAGGGCACCCAUCCUAGGGAGGCCAUUCCUGAACACCUCAGGAGCUGUCAUCUACGCUAGUGCUGCCAAGAUCAGUUUCUACAUCAAAGGGAGAAAGAAGACGUUUUCCUUCAAGAAUAAGACUACACAAAUCUUAAAGCAAUCCCGACAUGAACCAAGGAAGAGGAUCAACAGGUGGAAUAGGAACAAGCAAAUAUGGACUGAGUCAGCUAAGAUGGUCACCACAGCUCAAGGAGGUCAAGAUCGUCAACUCAAGUCACCUUUCUUGAUCAAGAAGGAUGACCCUGGUGUUCCAAGCAUCAAGUGCACAAUCAACGGAUAUUCUUUUCAGAAGACACUCUACGACACCGGAUCUAACGUCAACAUAAUGGCCGCAGUCACUUAUCAGCUCCUGCAUGGAACCAUGUCCCUACAACCAACAUACAUUCAGCUCCAGAUGAUUUUAAGGUUAUUGACAUGGGAGAAGACAAGUACGAUCCACCCAUCAUCCUUGGAAGACCGUUCCUCAGCACUGUUAAAGCAAUCAUCUACAUUGGAACUGGAGAAGUCCACAUGCACUUCCCCUCUGAGAAGGUACGCUGCUAUUUUACUGACCCUAACUAUAUAGUUGAAGACUCUAAGCAGGUCAGGGCAAGAAGAAGACGACGCAACCGCAACCAGAGGAGGCAAAUCAUCAAGGACGGAUGGGCAGACUAUGAAAGAGAAGUCGUAAGGUCUGAAGACAUACAACUUGAACAUAACUAUCCUAAGGAGACCGUAGCACCGAGUCAGGUGUGUAGAGAGAAGAAUGUUAUACACGAAGAGGAGGCGCCGCCGGAACCACCGACUACGCCAUCCAGCGAAUCCCAGGACGACUGAGAAAACGGAGAGUCCCGUUCGGAGGACUUAAAAACACCGAACGCCUUGCCAAGAGGUAAACUUGGUAGUUAUCUUUUUCCUUUCAAUUAUUUAAAAUAGUUUGCUUAGUUAAUCAGGUUCAUAUCAUCUUGAAAAGAAAAUAAAAAUAUUGAAGAUAGUAAGCCCCAUGUGAGUAUGCUCAUGGCAUAAAACCCAUAAGUACAUUCACUGUGGUGGCAUAAAAAUAAAAUAAAUAUAUUCCUGUCCUAUAAAAAUGAAAAUAUAAAAAUAAAUUUAUGAUCCUACUAAAGAGAGUAACAUUUAUUGAGGAGGCUCAACAUGAUAAAGGCUAGAUAUUUAUGCUAACACUUAACCAGUUCCACAAAGCUUUGUUGUCUAUUUGAGUUCCACAGAAUUCAAGGAUCAAAGAAAACUAGCCGAUGGAGGACAUCCUAAUCACUGUCAGGAUGCUGCUGACAUUCAAAUACACCUCAACCACCUGCUAGCUACAUCAGAUGAAAUUGCGUCAAAAUCCAGCUUGGGGGAGAGCACCCCCAUUUAUCGAGCUAAGUAUUCUACUCAGGUUUAUACUUUACUCUAAUAAUAAAAAGAUGCAUAAUCAUAGAAACCAAAAUAAAGAUUUUGUGCUUAUAUAUAUCUUCGCUUAGUUUGCUAAAUAAAUAAAUAAAUAAAGUUUGCUAUGAACCCUCAUGAUAAGCUCUCACAUGGAUAUGAUGAGUAGUUGCUCUGCCAUGAUUAGUUCUCAAAAUUAAAAUCUCUCUCAAGUUUAGGCAUGACUGUUAUUAAUUAAGGUUUGCUCUAAACCUGAACUUGUGGGGAGAGUACUUGAUCUAAAGUCUAAGUCGUUAAUGGAUAUGAUAUGGGAAGGUUGAGCUGCUGUUUAUCUGUUCCUAGAGAUGCUAGAAUUCUGGAGAAUUUUAUUUCUGAAAAUCUUUAAAAUGUUGCACGAUGAGUUCCUGUAUGAUGAGAGUUUAAAUUCCUACCACAGCCAUAUAUACAUGCUUGCUAGACUUUGAGCCACAUAUUUACUUUUUACUGCUUAUGAGCAUUGAGUGUGGUCAAGCUGUGUAGACCCUUAGGAGCUUGUCAUGUGGUUAAAAUCAAGAUUCACUUGCACGUUCAUUCAUACAUGCUGCUUCUACUCCGAAAGUACCAUCCACAUAUAUCCACCCAUUUCCAUCUCCAGAACCACCCAAAAAUAUUCUACUCCUAAUCCGGGAGAGAAUAGCCAAAAAUAUUUCUAUUUUUCCCCUAUGAAAUAAAUGCUCAAGUUAUCUUGUUACUACCACUUGCUAUAUUAUCUCAUGAGAUGAGUGCUCUAAUAAAAAAAAGAGAGAAAAAAAUGAGAGAAAAAAAAGAAAAAAAAAGAGAUACGAGGAAAUAAAAAGGGGCAAGUGCCCGGAACCUCGAAAGAAAAGAAAAAGUGAGACGAGAGGUAAAAAUGGACAUGUGUCCGACAGUAGAAUUAGGGGUACAAGAUACCCACCUGAGAGAAAAGAAAAAGAAAAUAUAGAGCAUCUCAUUCUCCUCAAAAAGCCUCAAAUGCAAGAAAGGUAUGUAUCCCCUCAAAAGAGCAAAAGUAGAAUUAGACUUUCACCAUUAUCACCAUCAUCACCAUAUACCAUUCAUUCGCCACACAUGCACAUCUUGAUUUGACUUAUUGACUUGUUCUUCUGGAUCCAUAGUUUGACUAUGCAAUAAAUGUCUUGUAAGUAUGUAUUAGCUGUCUCCCACCUAUGAGCUCCAGAUAUCAAAAGACUUAUCAGAGUAGGGUGAGAGAGAAGGAAAUGCCACUAUGCCUUAUACCACAAAUACCACAUACUUUGAGAGAAGGCAUACACCAUUAAUGCCUUGGUAAGGAUCCAGAAAUACCACAAAAGAGAGACUAGAGAGAGUCAUACAAGGAAUCUCUGAGUUUUAUUUGAAAAUCUACAAAAACUCCAGAGCUAUAGCUGAUCAAGAAUAAGAGACAUGGUGCUUGACUAGACUGUUCUAUCUUUUAACUACUCAAGACAGAAGUGACGGUUACAAGUCCCUUGGUGAAAGGUAAAUGAGUAAGUUUAAAUAUUAACAGUUUACCCUAACCCAGAGAUGAAAUCUUGUUUAAACGCAUGUGUAUCUUUAAGUUAUGAAACUACUGCAGAAACUCUUGAGUUCAUCUUUGCUCAGGGACGAGCAAAGGUUAAGCUUGGGGGAGCUUGUUGACGGUCCUUAAUGCUCAUAUUUAACCAUCAAUUAAUCAUGGAAAAGGAUCCAAAUACAACCAACACCUAGACUUAGGGUUUUAUCUGACAGAAUUCCACAAGUUUUGGUGUUUGUCUAUUUCUGCAGGGGGUUAUCAGGAAAUACGGAAGAAAGGCCCACAAGUCGGGUUUACAUAGAGAUAUUAAUGUGCCGCGCAAUUUUCUAUCAUCUAGAAGACUCCAGAAGCCACGGGACCGAACGGGAGACGUAACGGAGCCGGGCACUGGGCGCCCGCCCUCCCCCCUAGACCAAUCAGGGUGAAGUUCGGAGAUCAUGCUCCACCGACCUAAUACUUCAAGGAAAACCACACGAUCAAUGUCGGUUUGAUCCGAUGGCCCAGAUUCACUUGAAGGGACUAUAAAACCAGACCCCCCUGGCCCCUGGAGAUCAUACCUCUUCUACAGAAUCAAAGUUAGGGUUUCAAUUCUUCAUCCAAGUAGAGAGAUCCCUCUAGUUCUUCUAGUUCUACCUCUAGUUCAUCUAGAUCUAGUUCUAGUUCAUCUAGUUCUAGUUCUAGUUCCUCUAGUUCUAGUUCUAGUUAGUUCUAGUUGUAAUCUAGAAAAUAGGGAGAGAGAAGAGGAGAGCGGAGGAGGAGCCGGAUCUGUCGGAUCUUCCUCAACAUUGUACUUUUGCAGCAACUGGUUCGUUCUUCAUCGUUCUCCAGGUUCUUCAAUUCAUAACUCCUGAGUUCUCUAAUUACUUUUAUUUACAUUCAAGUUAUUUAUUGGAUUCCCGCUUGCAUCAAGUGCUCUAGUCUUUAUAACGCUAGAGUAGUAAUUAAUAGAUUAGACGUGGUGUUUAGUCUUGCGAUUACCUGGAAUUGCACCCAAUCCUACGGAUUGUUGUGGUAGCCCUAGGGUAGUGACAGCCCUAACGGUCGACGUAUUCCACCACGUUCGGAUCGGUGUUUGUAGGACCGUAGUCAGACCUUCCUAGCCCCCUUCUCAUCUCUUUCUGUGGUUAGUGCUCUGAUGUCCCGAUAUAGAUAAUCUUGAAGUAAAUCUUGAUUCUUAGAUCAACUAGAGAACUCUCAGGAAACUUCCUCUCUUCCCUCCAAAAAUAAUUAUAUAGUUAUCCUUGGGCAAUCUUGGGUCUUAAUUAGUACACUCACGUUCCCUGUGGAAAAUCGAUACUCUGGAAUACUCCCGGGUGAAGGCUACAUCGGUAUCCGUGCGCUUGCGGAUUUUUCUGUUUGCGUUUAAAAUACCCAACAACAGGAAAGAAAGAAAAAAUCAAAAGUCCCCGUCAUGAAAAAAAAUUAGAUAGAGCCCAUAUGUUUUCCUCUUCCUCUCUCUCUUAUCCUCCAAAUAAAAGAGAUGAUGCAUAGGAGUGACCAAAAAAAUUUAGAAUUAGGAUUUCCACCAAUUCCUCAUACUCCACACACUUGCACAUCUCAAUCAAGGUGUACGAUUUGUAUCUCCUCAUGGUCCGGGCUUUGACUCAGCAAUACAAGUGCCGUAAGUACGCCCACCUUUAUAACUGCCCAAAACUCCACUCUCAGCCUUAGUGGUAAGGUUUAAAGGCAAUGCCUCUGGUAAGGAUUUCAUACACAUUGAGCGAUUGAGAGAAUCAUUCGAGGAACUCAUUUAUUUUGCAAAACUUAUAAAAAAACCUCCGGAUUGAUAGUCUAUCAAAAGAUGAAUGAUUGGUGAGUCUGUUACAACUGUUCUAUCUUGCAACCACCC
This 8443-nucleotide long non-coding RNA is filed under the name Sorghum bicolor (sorghum). Its description in RNAcentral is "long non-coding RNA (SBIC_LNC000744)". The record is from RNAcentral. Lineage: Eukaryota; Viridiplantae; Streptophyta; Magnoliopsida; Poales; Poaceae.